CGGGAUGUGGCGCAAUUGGUAGCGCGCGUGAUUUGGGAUCAUGAGGCUGCAGGUUCGAGACCUGUCAUUCCGA
RNAcentral lists this transfer RNA (73 nucleotides) under Lachnospiraceae bacterium. Its description in RNAcentral is "tRNA-Pro". It matches the Rfam family "tRNA". From Rfam's summary of the family: Transfer RNA (tRNA) molecules are approximately 80 nucleotides in length. The record is from RNAcentral. Lineage: Bacteria; Bacillati; Bacillota; Clostridia; Lachnospirales; Lachnospiraceae.